Molecule: ribosomal RNA, 253 nt
Filed under: uncultured bacterium
Lineage: Bacteria
Description: partial 16S ribosomal RNA
Rfam family: Bacterial small subunit ribosomal RNA
Source: RNAcentral
UACGAAGGGGGCUAGCGUUGUUCGGAAUUACUGGGCGUAAAGCGCGCGCAGGCGGCUAUCCAAGUCAGAGGUGAAAUCCUGGAGCUCAACUCCAGAACUGCCUUUGAUACUGGAGAGCUUGAGUCCGGGAGAGGUGAGUGGAACUGCGAGUGUAGAGGUGAAAUUCGUAGAUAUUCGCAAGAACACCAGUGGCGAAGGCGGCUCACUGGCCCGGUACUGACGCUGAGGUGCGAAAGCGUGGGGAGCAAACAGG